RNAcentral lists this ribosomal RNA (468 nucleotides) under uncultured bacterium. RNAcentral describes it as "partial 16S ribosomal RNA". It matches the Rfam family "Bacterial small subunit ribosomal RNA", at positions 28 to 507 of the family's 1533-position model. The record is from RNAcentral.
GACGAACGCUGGCGGCGUGCUUAACACAUGCAAGUCGAACGGAAAGGCCCUGCUUUUGUGGGGUGCUCGAGUGGCGAACGGGUGAGUAACACGUGAGUAACCUGCCCUUGACUUUGGGAUAACUUCUGGAAACUGGGGCUCAUACCGGAUAGGAGCUCCUGCUGCAUGGUGGGGGUUGGAAAGUUUCGGCGGUUGGGGAUGGACUCGCGGCUUAUCAGCUUGUUGGUGGGGUAGUGGCUUACCAAGGCUUCGACGGGUAGCCGGCCUGAGAGGGUGACCGGCCACAUUGGGACUGAGAUACGGCCCAGAAUCCAACGGGAGGCAGCAGUGGGGAAUAUUGCACAAUGGGCGGAAGCCUGAUGCAGCAACGCCGCGUGCGGGAUGACGGCCUUCGGGGUGUAAACCGCUGUCGCCGGUGACGAAGAGUGAGUGACGGUAAUGGGUAAAGAAGCACCGGCUAACUACGUG